This 464-nucleotide ribosomal RNA is filed under the name uncultured bacterium. RNAcentral's name for it is "bacterial SSU rRNA". It matches the Rfam family "Bacterial small subunit ribosomal RNA", at positions 330 to 793 of the family's 1533-position model. The record is from RNAcentral.
UCCAGACUCCUACGGGAGGCAGCAGUGGGGAAUAUUGCACAAUGGGGGAAACCCUGAUGCAGCGACGCCGCGUGAGUGAAGAAGUAUUUCGGUAUGUAAAGCUCUAUCAGCAGGGAAGAAAUACUGACCUUACGGUCAGCAGACGGUACCUGACUAAGAAGCCCCGGCUAACUACGUGCCAGCAGCCGCGGUAAUACGUAGGGGGCAAGCGUUAUCCGGAUUUACUGGGUGUAAAGGGAGCGCAGACGGCAGUGCAAGUCUGGAGUGAAAGCCCGGGGCCCAACCCCGGAACUGCUCUGGAAACUGUGCGGCUAGAGUACUGGAGGGGCAGGCGGAAUUCCUAGUGUAGCGGUGAAAUGCGUAGAUAUUAGGAGGAACACCAGUGGCGAAGGCGGCUUACUGGACUGUAACUGACGUUGAGGCUCGAAAGCGUGGGGAGCAAACAGGAUUAGAUACCCGAGUAC